AACGCAACUUGCACUCUAUUUCGGUAGAGUAUGCCUGUUUGAGAAUCUAUAGUAUUUAUUAUUCCCGGUGCUUUGCUUUUGAGCUUCGCGCCGUGGAGUAGAUUUGAGGCUUCGAUUUUCGGAUCGUGCCUUUAAAAAUAUAGCCGCCUUGAAAGCGACUGUCAGUGUUUGAAUAGAACUGUGUUCUUGCCUGCGCUCCUAGUCACUUUCGCGAGGCGGUCCAUAACUAUAAAGUUUUGCUUGCGAAACUUGAACCAUGGUCUCAAAUCAGGUAGGAGGACCCGCUGAACUUAA
RNAcentral lists this unclassified non-coding RNA (294 nucleotides) under uncultured fungus. RNAcentral's name for it is "sequence contains ITS2". The record is from RNAcentral. Lineage: Eukaryota; Fungi.